Molecule: non-coding RNA, 30 nt
Filed under: Mus musculus (house mouse)
Lineage: Eukaryota; Metazoa; Chordata; Mammalia; Rodentia; Muridae
Source: RNAcentral
UUCUCGGGAUUAUGAGAAUCAAAGAUGGGU